CGCGAUCACUCCUCGGGGAGGCAGCAGUAGGGAAUCUUCCACAAUGGGCGCAAGCCUGAUGGAGCAACACCGCGUGAGUGAAGAAGGGUUUCGGCUCGUAAAGCUCUGUUGUUAAAGAAGAACACGUAUGAGAGUAACUGCUCAUACGUUGACGGUAUUUAACCAGAAAGUCACGGCUAACUACGUGCCAGCAGCCGCGGUAAUACGUAGGUGGCAAGCGUUAUCCGGAUUUAUUGGGCGUAAAGAGAGUGCAGGCGGUUUUCUAAGUCUGAUGUGAAAGCCUUCGGCUUAACCGGAGAAGUGCAUCGGAAACUGGAUAACUUGAGUGCAGAAGAGGGUAGUGGAACUCCAUGUGUAGCGGUGGAAUGCGUAGAUAUAUGGAAGAACACCAGUGGCGAAGGCGGCUACCUGGUCUGCAACUGACGCUGAGACUCGAAAGCAUGGGUAGCGAACAGGAUUAGAUACCCUGGUAG
Molecule: ribosomal RNA, 473 nt
Filed under: uncultured bacterium
Lineage: Bacteria
Description: bacterial SSU rRNA
Rfam family: Bacterial small subunit ribosomal RNA
Source: RNAcentral